RNAcentral lists this ribosomal RNA (774 nucleotides) under uncultured Neocallimastigales. RNAcentral describes it as "partial large subunit ribosomal RNA". It matches the Rfam family "Eukaryotic large subunit ribosomal RNA", at positions 24 to 634 of the family's 3401-position model. The record is from RNAcentral. Lineage: Eukaryota; Fungi; Neocallimastigomycota; Neocallimastigomycetes; Neocallimastigales.
GUAGUCUCGCACAGAUGCAUAUCAAUAAGCGGAGGAAAAGAAACUAACAAGGAUUCCCUCAGUAACGGCGAGUGAAGCGGGAAGAGCUCAAAUUUGAAAUCCUGAAAGGUCACCUUUCACGAAUUGUAGUUUAAAGAAGUGUUUUCUGUUACGAUCGUAAUAUAAGUUCUUUGGAAUAGGACAUCACAGAGGGUGAGAAUCCCGUCUAUGAUUGCGAUUUGUAGCCUUGUGAUACACUUUCAAAGAGUCGGGUUGUUUGGGAAUGCAGCCCAAAACGGGAGGUAAAUUUCUUCUAAGGCUAAAUAUUGGCGAGAGACCGAUAGCGAACAAGUACCGUGAGGGAAAGAUGAAAAGAACUUUGAAAAGAGAGUUAAAUAGUACGUGAAAUUGUCAAAAGGGAAGCGUUUAACACCAGUGUUGUUUUCUCGAAAAUCAAUUAAAAAUGGCUCGAUUUUGUAUUGCUGAGACCUUAUAAGCUCACUGUACAUUUUUCGUGUCUUUUUUAAUGCACUUUUCGUUUAACAAGUCAACAUCAGUUUCUUUUGUUGUAAAAGGGUCAUUGGAAGGUGGCUUUCUUUUCGGAGAAAGUGUUUAUAGCCUUUGGCCUCUGCAAUCGGAGAGACUGAGGUCUGCAGCGUAGACUCUUCGGGGUCAGAUACAUUUGUGCUAAGUUAUAGCUUUUUAUAGACAACUUGUUGACUAUAAUUAGUCUUGUAGCUUACUCGCUUAUGCUAUUUUACCUACGCUUAGGAUGUUGAGUCGUAGAGCACGCAG